This 954-nucleotide ribosomal RNA is filed under the name Triticum aestivum (bread wheat). RNAcentral describes it as "partial small subunit ribosomal RNA". Lineage: Eukaryota; Viridiplantae; Streptophyta; Magnoliopsida; Poales; Poaceae. The record is from RNAcentral.
AUGGUACUCCUCCCAAAAACCCUGGCGCCAACAUCUCCAGAUGCUUUUAGACCCAUCUCUCUUCAAAACUGCACUCCAAAAGCAGUGGCCAAAGUCCUUACAAAUAGACUAAAACCACUCAUCCCGCUGCUCAUUCAUUAUGAUCAAACGGGCUUCCUACAUGGACGCAACAUUGCAGAAAAUUUCAUUUAUGCUGCUGAUAUCCUAAGUGCUUGCCACACAUGUAAAGCCCCGACCAUGGUCUUCAAGCUCAACUUCAGGAAAGCUUUUGACUCCAUUUGCUGGUCCUCCCUCAUCGAAAUCCUACAAGCUAGAGGGUUCCCUCCAAUUUUCUGUUCAUGGGUUCAAAACAUCCUGCUCACUGGGAAAACGGCUAUCCUCCUAAAUGGCAUUCUGGGGUCCUGGAUCCAAUGUAGAUGUGGCCUCCGCCAAGGGGAUCCAUUCUCGCCAUACUUGGUCAUCAUUGUUGCAGACGUUCUUCAAAGACUGACCUCCAGCGCUUUCCAAACGAACGUACUUUGCCACCCGCUCCGACCAAACGAACCACCCAUGACACUUCAAUACGCUGAUGAUACCCUGAUAAUUGUUGCUGCUAGCGACGCCGCCACCAUAACUCUCAAAAAAACACUACACGAUUUUGCCCUUGCAACGGGGCUGGUUGUCAACUUCCAAAAAACGGCACUUCUCACCAUCGCCACUAACUCAUCCACUCAAAACAACAUCGCUGCAUCUAUUGGAUGUUCUUUAUCCUCCUUUCCAUUAAUCUACCUAGGUCUUCCCCUCUCCCCUACCAAACUGCCACUCACAGCUUUCGACCCGAUCAUAGACAGCUUUCGGAAAUUCCUCUUCGGUUGGGUUGCGUGCCUGCUCUCACGUGGUGCUCGCCUCACACUGCUGACUGCGGUCCUAGACUCAUUAACAAUUUAUUUCAUGUCAGUCUUUCGCCUACCUUAG